UAUAUAUAUAUACAAUGUACAAAUAGUUAAAGGACACAAGAUAAAAUGAAUAAGCAUAAAUAUGGGUUGUAUUUACAAUGGUGUUUGUUCUUCACUGGUUGCCCUUUUCUCGUGGCAACAGGUCACAAAUCUUGCUGCUGUGAUGGCACACUGUGGAAUUUUACCCAAAAGAUAUGAGAGUUUUUCAAAAUUGGAUUUGUUUUCGAAUUCUUUGUGGAUCUGUGUAAUCUGGGGAAAUAUGUCUCUCUAAUAUGGUCAUACAUUGGGCAGGAGGUUAGGAAGUGCAGCUCAGUUUCCACCUCAUUUUGUGGGCAGUGAGCACAUAGCCUGUCUUCUCUUGAGAGCCAUGUCUGCCUACGGCGGCCUUUCUCAAUAGCAAGGCUAUGCUCACUGAGUCUGUACAUAGUCAAAGCUUUCCUUAAUUUUGGGUCAGUCACAGUGGUCAGGUAUUCUGCCGCUGUGUACUCUCUGUGUAGGGCCAAAUAGCAUUCUAGUUUGCUCUGUUUUUUUGUUAAUUCUUUCCAAUGUGUUAAGUAAUUAUCUUUUUGUUUUCUCAUGAUUUGGUUGGGUCUAAUUGCGCUGUUGUCCUGGGGCUCUGUAGGGUGUGUUUGUGUUUGUGAACAAAGCCCCAGGACCAGCUUGCUUAGGGGACUCUUCUCCAGGUUCAUCUCUCUGUAGGUGAUGGCUUUGUUAUGGAAGGUUUGUGAAUUGCUUCCUUUUAGGUGGUUGUAGAAUUUAACGGCUCUUUUCUGGAUUUUGAUAAUUAGUGGGUAUCGGCCUAAUUCUGCUCUGCAUGCAUUAUUUGGUGUUCUACGUUGUACACGGAGGAUAUUUUUCAGAAUUCUGCGUGCAGAGUCUCAAUUUGGUGUUUGUCCCAUUUUGUGAAGUCUUGGUUGGUGAGCGGACCCCAGACCUCACAACCAUAAAGGGCAAUGGGCUCUAUGACUGAUUCAAGUAUUUUUAGCCAAAUCCUAAUUGGUAUGUUGAAAUUUAUGUUUCUUUUGAUGGCAUAGAAUGCCCUUCUUGCCUUGUCUCUCAGAUCGUUCACAGCUUUGUGGAAGUUACCUGUGGCGCAGUUCUAUCUGUCUGUUAAAUCAGUUUCUGGACCACAGGUUCUAGAACAGCUUCUAUCCCAGUUCUAUCUGUCUGUUAUAUCAUCAACCUAAACUGUUUCCAUCAGACUAUUAGAACUUGACUGAACCUUUUGGUUCCUUUUCUGAUAUUUUACCACUUUGCAUUUUUUAUGAUAUAUUUUACUGUUUGUGUUUGUACCACAGGAGGUUGGUGGGACCUUAAUUGGGGAGGACAGGCUUGUAAUGGCUGGAGGGGAAUAAGUAGAAUGGUAUCAAACACGUGGUUUCCAUGUGUUCCAUUUCAUUCACUCUGUUCCAGACAUUAUUAUGAGCCGUCCUCCCCUCACCAGCCUCCUCUGGUAUGUACUGUCCUAUAUGUGAGAGAGAUCCAACAAGGAAUUACAAUGUAUGUAUUACAUACCUGCAAAUGGCAAAUAAACUACUAGAAGUCCUUAUGAAUGUCUGCAGCCGACUAGACUGUUGGCGUCUGACAAGAGGUGAAAAUAUUACAGGAAUAUUCUGCAAAUGUUGAUGAAGACGUCACUCAAUCCCCCAAAACAACAUGCGGUCUUUCCACAAGACUCCAAUGAAGUUAUAGUGUGACGUUGUGAGUUGACAUUAAAGUAACAUUCUCAGAACAUACUGCACUUGUUUUAUACUGUUUUAGAUGGAUCCUCUGUUUAUCAUCUUGUUUUAUACUGUUUUAGAUGGAUCCUCUGUUUAUCAUCUUGUUUUAUACUGUUUUAGAUGGAUCCUCUGUUUAUCAUCUUGUUUUAUACUGUUUUAGAUGGAUCCUCUGUUUAUCAUCUUGUUUUAUACUGUUUUAGAUGGAUCCUCUGUUUAUCAUCUUGUUUUAUACUGUUUUAGAUGGAUCCUCUGUUUAUCAUCUUGUUUUAUACUGUUUUAGAUGGAUCCUCUGUUUAUCAUCUUGUUUUAUACUGUUUUAGAUGGAUCCUCUGUUUAUCAUCUUGUUUUAUACUGCUUUAGAUGGAUCCUCUGUUUAUCAUCUUGUUUUAUACUGUUUUAGAUGGAUCCUCUGUUUAUCAUCUUGUUUUAUACUGUUUUAGAUGUAUCCUCUGUUUAUCAUCUUGUUUUAUACUGUUUUAGAUGGAUCCUCUGUUUAUCAUCUUGUUUUAUUCUGUUUUAGAUGGAUCCUCUGUUUAUCAUCUUGUUUUAUACUGUUUUAGAUGGAUCCUCUGUUUAUCAUCUCUGUUUCAACAUUUAAACUCUUAAAUUUAAACAAUUUAAACAAUUAAACUGUUACAUUUAAACAAUUUAAACAAUACCACCGUUAAAAUACCAAUGUGAUCAUUUGUUGUACGUCUUUUAUGUUGAAUAACAAAUAGUACAAUUAUAUAUGGACAUACGCUCCACAUACACUGCUGAUGUCGCAGAAAGGCCAUAAAGAUCAUCAAGGACAACAACCACCCGAGCCACUGCCUGUUCACCCCGUUAUCAUCCAGAAGGAGGGUACAGGUGCAUCAUCACCACCCGAGCCACUGCCUGUUCACCCCGUUAUCAUCCAGAAGGAGAGGUCAGUACAGGUGCAUCAUCACCACCCGAGCCACUGCCUGUUCACCCCGCUAUCAUCCAGAAGGAGAGGUCAGUACAGGUGCAUCAUCACCACCCGAGCCACUGCCUGUUCACCCCGCUAUCAUCCAGAAGGAGAGGUCAGUACAGGUGCAUCAUCACCACCCGAGCCACUGCCUGUUCACCCCGCUAUCAUCCAGAAGGAGAGGUCAGUACAGGUGCAUCAUCACCACCCGAGCCACUGCCUGUUCACCCCGCUAUCAUCCAGAAGGAGAGGUCAGUACAGGUGCAUCAAAGCUGGGACCGA
This is a long non-coding RNA of Oncorhynchus keta (chum salmon), 2910 nucleotides long. RefSeq lists it as uncharacterized. The transcript is spliced from 2 exons. Lineage: Eukaryota; Metazoa; Chordata; Actinopteri; Salmoniformes; Salmonidae. The record is from RefSeq and is a predicted model, not a curated record.